Molecule: ribosomal RNA, 845 nt
Filed under: uncultured bacterium
Lineage: Bacteria
Description: bacterial SSU rRNA
Rfam family: Bacterial small subunit ribosomal RNA
Source: RNAcentral
AGUCGAGCGGAUGAAGAGAGCUUGCUCUCUGAUUCAGCGGCGGACGGGUGAGUCGUUUCUAGGAAUCUGCCUGAUAGUGGGGGACAACGUUUCGAAACGAUCGCUAAUACCGCAUACGUCCUACGGGAGAAAGUGGGGGAUCUUCGGACCUCACGCUAUCAGAUGAGCCUAGGUCGGAUUAGCUAGUUGGUGAGGUAAUGGCUCACCAAGGCUACGAUCCGUAACUGGUCUGAGAGGAUGAUCAGUCACACUGGAACUGAGACACGGUCCAGACUCCUACGGGAGGCAGCAGUGGGGAAUAUUGGACAAUGGGCGAAAGCCUGAUCCAGCCAUGCCGCGUGUGUGAAGAAGGUCUUCGGAUUGUAAAGCACUUUAAGUUGGGAGGAAGGGCAGUAAAUUAAUACUUUGCUGUUUUGACGUUACCGACAGAAUAAGCACCGGCUAACUCUGUGCCAGCAGCCGCGGUAAUACAGAGGGUGCAAGCGUUAAUCGGAAUUACUGGGCGUAAAGCGCGCGUAGGUGGUUUGUUAAGUUGAAUGUGAAAGCCCCGGGCUCAACCUGGGAACUGCAUCCCAAACUGGGAAGCUAGAGUACGGUAGAGGGUGGUGGAAUUUCCUGUGUAGCGGUGAAAUGCGUAGAUAUAGGAAGGAACACCAGUGGGCGAAGCGACCACCUGGACUGAUACUGACACUGAAGUGCGAAAGCGGGGGGAGCAAACAGGAUUAGAUACCCUGGUAGUCCCCGCCCGAAACGAUGUCAACUAGCCGGUGGGAUCCUUGAGAAUUUAGUGGGGCAACUUACGCAUUUAAUUGACCGCCUGGGGAGUACGGGCGCCAGGGUAAAAA